This 1011-nucleotide long non-coding RNA is filed under the name Nicotiana benthamiana. RNAcentral's name for it is "long non-coding RNA (NBEN_LNC021442)". The record is from RNAcentral. Lineage: Eukaryota; Viridiplantae; Streptophyta; Magnoliopsida; Solanales; Solanaceae.
AUCAUCUGUUCUUUUGGACUCUAGAACAUAUCUCAAAAGUACAAUCAAUCAGAAACUCUACAACUGUUGUUGUUAAGCUAAUAUCCUAUCACAGAAUGAGUGUUGUUACAAUUGUGAAUACUCGCACGAAGGAUAACUAUUAGUGUUCUGCAGAAUGGGUGACCAUUUAGGUAGCUUCAUUCCAGUAAAGUGUACUUGAAGUGUAAUCUCCUUUGCUCGAUCUUUGGCGUCUCUGCUCGAUUGUUGAAACCUUCUGUUGUUCCUUUCCAUCCAGAUGUUGUAAACUACUGCUGCAAACACCAAACCUAAGAUUGUUUUUCUGGGGUUUCUGCUGUUUACAUUAGCAGUUAACCAUUGCACUUCUGUUUCCCAUGUGCCUGUCGUUCUUUCGUACUUCAACCAUUGUAACAUACCUUGCCACAAUGCUUGGGAGUAUAAGCAAUCAAAGUAUAAAUGGUCGUGUGUUUCUUCAAUAUCUCUUCCACAUAAGAUGCAUGAUUGAUUAAUUUGAAUUCCCCAUUUAGCUAAUCUGUCAACUGUUGCCAAGCGUCUAUGCAGCGCCAUCCAUAAGAUGUAUUUCUGUUUCGGGAGCAGGCCAGUCACCAUUAAUAAUUUUUUCCAUCGAACCUUGGGAUAUUGUGGAGUGGUCUGAAUGUAUGCCUUCCUGAUGCUAAAUUGCCCAUUUUUUGUACAUGUUUGCAUUCCUAUUCCAUCAGCUGGUGGUAUGAAUAUAUGCCUUCCUGAUGCUAAAUUGCCCAUUUUGGUACAUGUUUGCAUUCCUGUUCCAUCAGUUGCCCACUAUUCUCUUGCGCCAAAUAAUUUUCUAACGAGCCAGCUAGCUUGUUUAGGUGUUUCCAUAGUAUUAAUGUCUUUUUUCUUUAUGUAGUGACAAUGGAUCCAUUAGAUCCAGAUUUUGUCUUUCUUAGACAUUAAGGCCCAGAGAAGUUUUGAUAGAGCUGCUUUAUUCCAUCUUUCAUAGGAGAUAAUGUUCAAACCUCCUGCUGCCUCUGG